This 492-nucleotide ribosomal RNA is filed under the name uncultured bacterium. Its description in RNAcentral is "partial 16S ribosomal RNA". It matches the Rfam family "Bacterial small subunit ribosomal RNA", at positions 29 to 507 of the family's 1533-position model. The record is from RNAcentral.
AGUGAACGCUGGCGGUAGGCCUAACACAUGCAAGUCGAACGGCAGCACAGUAAGAGCUUGCUCUUACGGGUGGCGAGUGGCGGACGGGUGAGGAAUACAUCGGAAUCUACUUUUUCGUGGGGGAUAACGUAGGGAAACUUACGCUAAUACCGCAUACGACCUACGGGUGAAAGCAGGGGAUCUUCGGACCUUGCGCGAUUGAAUGAGCCGAUGUCGGAUUAGCUAGUUGGCGGGGUAAAGGCCCACCAAGGCGACGAUCCGUAGCUGGUCUGAGAGGAUGAUCAGCCACACUGGAACUGAGACACGGUCCAGACUCCUACGGGAGGCAGCAGUGGGGAAUAUUGGACAAUGGGCGCAAGCCUGAUCCAGCCAUACUGCGUGGGUAAAGAAGGCCUUCGGGUUGUAAAGCCCUUUUGUUGGGAAAGAAAAGCAGCAGGUUAAUACCCCGCUGUUCUGACGGUACCCAAAGAAUAAGCACCGGCUAACUUCGUG